RNAcentral lists this long non-coding RNA (211 nucleotides) under Phoenix dactylifera (date palm). RNAcentral describes it as "long non-coding RNA (PDAC_LNC010307)". Lineage: Eukaryota; Viridiplantae; Streptophyta; Magnoliopsida; Arecales; Arecaceae. The record is from RNAcentral.
UCCGAUGGUUGAAUGUGAUUAGGAAUCACAAAUAAUCAAUUAGAUUGAUAAAUGAAAACCCGCUAAGAGUUAGUGGUUAGAAGAAGGAUUAAUUGCAAUCGGAUUGCAAUUUAAUUUAAUUAAUUGAAUUUAAUUUAUUGGACUUGAUCAUGAGUCCUACUUGGAGUGGGAUUCAUGAAGUCCUAAUUAGAUUAGGAUUUCAAAUUAAAUU